Long non-coding RNA from Dipodomys spectabilis (banner-tailed kangaroo rat), 158 nucleotides. RefSeq lists it as uncharacterized. NCBI's taxonomy places the organism in Eukaryota, Metazoa, Chordata, Mammalia, Rodentia, Heteromyidae. The transcript is spliced from 3 exons. The record is from RefSeq and is a predicted model, not a curated record.
AAGAAACAAUGUUUAAGAAUAGAAUGCUCCCACCUAAAAGACACUUUCAGAUAGAACCAUUGUUACAUGUGUGUGGUUUAUUCAACACUACUGUGUAUAUAGUGGACAAUUAAGUCCUUAUUUGAAACAUCUGGUCUCUUUAGAUGUUUAUAAGUGCA